CUACGGGCGGCUGCAGUGGGGAAUAUUGGACAAUGGGGGAAACCCUGAUCCAGCAAUGCCGCGUGUGUGAAGAAGGCCUGCGGGUUGUAAAGCACUUUCGGUUGGGAGGACUGCUUCUAGCACUAAUAUUGUUGGAAGUUGACGUUACCUUCAGAAGAAGCACCGGCUAACUCCGUGCCAGCAGCCGCGGUAAUACGGAGGGUGAAGCGUUAAUCGGAAUUACUGGGCGUAAAGCGCGCGUAGGCGGCUAGAUCAGUCGGGUGUGAAAGCCCCGGGCUUAACCUGGGAACUGCAUCCGAUACUGGCUAGCUUGAGUACAGGAGAGGAGAGUGGAAUUCCACAUGUAGCGGUGAAAUGCGUAGAUAUGUGGAGGAACACCAAUGGCGAAGGCAGCUCUCUGGCCUGAUACUGACGCUGAGGUGCGAAAGCGUGGGGAGCAAACAGGAUUAGAUACCCCGGUAGUC
Molecule: ribosomal RNA, 464 nt
Filed under: uncultured bacterium
Lineage: Bacteria
Description: partial 16S ribosomal RNA
Rfam family: Bacterial small subunit ribosomal RNA
Source: RNAcentral